Long non-coding RNA from Cyprinus carpio (common carp), 1145 nucleotides. The record is from Ensembl. NCBI's taxonomy places the organism in Eukaryota, Metazoa, Chordata, Actinopteri, Cypriniformes, Cyprinidae.
GGAACGCCAAUUAAACAGUGCACGAGACUACGGGCUCUUCCGCGCGACCUGAGGUGAUGAGUGAUGCACAACAGGAGCUUUCAAAAUAUUCAAACAAAAAAUGUAAGUGUGAUAUUUGCAGCUAUACAGAGACCGGCUGGCUAUCUGGAAAUGGAUUCCAAGAUUGUUAUUGCAGGAGUAAUGUGCUCUGGAGAGACUGUAGCUUGACUUCAUAAACAGCUGAAGCAGUUGAACAGAGAAGCCAAAGUUUGAAUAGGAUGUCUGCAAGAAAACGGCUAAAUGCAGAGAAGAGUUUCAGAGUGGUUGUCUGUCUGUGUGCCUAUGAACCCGGAGCCUCUAUCAAAGUGACACAGAUCAACAGAGUAGUUGUUGACACUGGAAGGAGUCACAAGCCUCAUAUUAUAGACCUUGAUGCAGUCUUAAAUGAGGAGGCAUCUCAGAGAGAUGUUUAUGAGUCAACAACAAAGUCUCUGGUCGAAUAUCUAAUGCAGGGUUAUAAUGGCUGUGUAAUUGUCUAUGGCUCUCCGGGCAGCGGUAAGACUCACACCAUGCAAGGAUGCAGUGUGUCAGCCAAACACAGAGGCAUCAUCAGCCGCGCAGCUGAGGACAUCUUCGCCUGUAUCAAACCUUCAGGCUGUUGGAUUUAGAAAGUCACAUCUUAAGAUUUCAUGUUCUUUUGUAGACAAGAGAGACUUAUAACACAUACUGUAUAUUGCAAUAACAUUCCAUUCCUCAUUCACUGCAUCAGCAUCCUAGAACAAUCCUUAAUUUGAAUAAUCCAGCCCCCAAGGCAUCUCACUGCAAAAUCAGUGUCUCAUUUUACCACAUUUUCAAUGAAAAAAUAUAUGACCUAUUGGUAAGUAUUUUUGGAAUAAUUAAAUCACUGUAUCAGUUAAAUCAAUCAAUCACAAUUAUUCUACAUAAAUGCAUUUGGCAGAAUCUUUUUUUUUCUUAAGAGAAACGUACAUUGCACACAUUUAUCAGUUCAUGGGAACAUUCACAUGGCUGUGGUAUUUCUGGUGGCACUACAGGAAUGGAAUAUUAAGCCUCAUUAUCAUCAUAAAAUUUGAUUCUUAUUACAACAUUUUAAUGUUUUUGAAAGAAGUCUUAAUAAAAAAAUAAAAACAGUAAUAUUGUGUAAUAAU